UACGUAGGGUGCGAGCGUUGUCCGGAAUUAUUGGGCGUAAAGGGCUCGUAGGCGGUUUGUCACGUCGGGAGUGAAAACUCGGGGCUUAACCCCGAGCCUGCUUCCGAUACGGGCAGACUAGAGGUAUGCAGGGGAGAACGGAAUUCCUGGUGUAGCGGUGAAAUGCGCAGAUAUCAGGAGGAACACCGGUGGCGAAGGCGGUUCUCUGGGCCGAAAUUGACGCUGAGGAGCGAAAGCGUGGGGAGCGAACAGG
RNAcentral lists this ribosomal RNA (253 nucleotides) under uncultured bacterium. RNAcentral's name for it is "partial 16S ribosomal RNA". It matches the Rfam family "Bacterial small subunit ribosomal RNA", at positions 524 to 776 of the family's 1533-position model. The record is from RNAcentral.